RNAcentral lists this ribosomal RNA (468 nucleotides) under uncultured bacterium. RNAcentral's name for it is "partial 16S ribosomal RNA". It matches the Rfam family "Bacterial small subunit ribosomal RNA", at positions 28 to 507 of the family's 1533-position model. The record is from RNAcentral.
GACGAACGCUGGCGGCGUGCUUAACACAUGCAAGUCGAACGGAAAGGCCCUGCUUUUGUGGGGUGCUCGAGUGGCGAACGGGUGAGUAACACGUGAGUAACCUGCCCUUGACUUUGGGAUAACUUCAGGAAACUGGGGCUAAUACCGGAUAGGAGCUCCUGCUGCAUGGUGGGGGUUGGAAAGUUUCGGCGGUUGGGGAUGGACUCGCGGCUUAUCAGCUUGUUGGUGGGGUAGUGGCUUACCAAGGCUUUGACGGGUAGCCGGCCUGAGAGGGUGACCGGCCACAUUGGGACUGAGAUAAGGCCCAGACUCCUACGGGAGGCAGCAGUGGGGAAUAUUGCACAAUGGGCGGAAGCCUGAUGCAGCAACGCCGCGUGGGGGAUGACGGCCUUGGGGUUGUAAAGCGCUUUCGCCUGUGACGAGGCGUGAGUGACGGUAAUGGGUAAAGAAGCACCGGCUAACUACGUG